ACGCUCGACACCUACGUGAGGCAGCAGUGGGGAAUAUUGCACAAUGGGGGAAACCCUGAUGCAGCGACGCCGCGUGAGCGAAGAAGUAUUUCGGUAUGUAAAGCUCUAUCAGCAGGGAAGAAACUGACGGUACCUGACUAAGAAGCACCGGCUAAAUACGUGCAGCAGCCGCGGUAAUCUGAGCGGGCUGGCAAGGC
This 197-nucleotide ribosomal RNA is filed under the name uncultured bacterium. Its description in RNAcentral is "partial 16S ribosomal RNA". It matches the Rfam family "Bacterial small subunit ribosomal RNA", at positions 328 to 539 of the family's 1533-position model. The record is from RNAcentral.